AUGUCUGUUAUGAAAUUCCCUAAGUGGGCCAUUGAUGCCAUUACCUCACAGAUGUCUCACUUCUUUUGGGUCAAUGUGGGUGACAAUCAUAAAUACCAUCUGUCUAGUUGGGGGUCGAUUGCUCAGAAAAAAGAAUUUGGGGGUCUAGGGGUUCCUAACCUUAGAGAAUACAAUAUGGCCCUCCUUGCCUCGUGGGGAAGGAGAUUCUAUGAUGGGAGGGAUAGUAACCGGAAGAAAGUCAUUAACUUCAAAUAUGCUACUGACAAACCCAAUUUCUAUUGGGGAAAACCUGGAUUAGGCUCUCCCUUUUGGAAAAGCCUAACCUAG
Molecule: ribosomal RNA, 327 nt
Filed under: Triticum aestivum (bread wheat)
Lineage: Eukaryota; Viridiplantae; Streptophyta; Magnoliopsida; Poales; Poaceae
Description: partial small subunit ribosomal RNA
Source: RNAcentral